RNAcentral lists this ribosomal RNA (786 nucleotides) under uncultured Tomentella. RNAcentral's name for it is "eukaryotic LSU rRNA". The stretch from base 210 to 364 matches the Rfam family "5.8S ribosomal RNA". The record is from RNAcentral. Lineage: Eukaryota; Fungi; Basidiomycota; Agaricomycetes; Thelephorales; Thelephoraceae.
UCCGUUAGGUUAGUCUACAUGGAGGACGUUGCUCGGUCUCGUAGAGGGGGCAUGUGCACAGCUCUGUUUACACAUCCACUCACACCUGUGCACCCUCUGUAGUUCUGUGGCAUCGGGGACUCUGUCCUCUUGCUGUGGUCCUACGUCUUUACACACACACCGUAAUACAGUCCCAUGGAAUGUAUGUCGCGUUUAACGCAAUACAAUACAACUUUCAGCAACGGAUCUCUUGGCUCUCGCAUCGAUGAAGAACGCAGCGAAAUGCGAUAAGUAAUGUGAAUUGCAGAAUUCAGUGAAUCAUCGAAUCUUUGAACGCACCUUGCGCCCUUUGGCUAUUCCGAAGGGCAUGCCUGUUUGAGUAUCAUGAACACCUCAACUCUCAUGGCCUGCCAUGAUGAGCUUGGACUUUGGGGGUCUUGCCGGCCUAGCCGUCGGCUCCUCUCAAACAAAUCAGCUUGCCAGUGUUUGGUGGCAUCACAGGUGUGAUAACUAUCUACGCUUGUGGUUUUCCACCAGGUAACCUCCAGCAAUGGAGGUUCGCUGGAGCUCACAGACGUCUCUCCUCAGGGAGGACAGCUUUUUGAACGUUUGAUCUCAAAUCAGGUAGGACUACCCGCUGAACUUAAGCAUAUCAAUAAGCGGAGGAAAAGAAACUAACAAGGAUUCCCCUAGUAACUGCGAGUGAAGCGGGAAGAGCUCAAAUUUAAAAUCUGGCGUGCCUCUGGUCGUCCGAGUUGUAGUCUGGAGAAGCGUUUUCCGUGCUGGACCGUGUACAAAGUCUCCUGA